Molecule: ribosomal RNA, 609 nt
Filed under: uncultured bacterium
Lineage: Bacteria
Description: bacterial SSU rRNA
Rfam family: Bacterial small subunit ribosomal RNA
Source: RNAcentral
CCUACGGGAGGCAGCAGUGGGGAAUUUUGGACAAUGGGGGCAACCCUGAUCCAGCCAUGCCGCGUGAGUGAAGAAGGCCUUCGGGUUGUAAAGCUCUUUCAGCCGGGAAGAAAUCGUAUGGGUUAAUACCCUGUGCGGAUGACGGUACCGGAAUAAGAAGCACCGGCUAACUACGUGCCAGCAGCCGCGGUAAUACGUAGGGUGCGAGCGUUAAUCGGAAUUACUGGGCGUAAAGCGUGCGCAGGCGGUUUGUUAAGAUAGGCGUGAAAUCCCCGGGCUCAACCUGGGAACUGCGCUUAUGACUGGCAAGCUAGAGUACGGCAGAGGGGGGUGGAAUUCCACGUGUAGCAGUGAAAUGCGUAGAGAUGUGGAGGAACACCAAUGGCGAAGGCAGCCCCCUGGGUCGAUACUGACGCUCAUGCACGAAAGCGUGGGUAGCAAACAGGAUUAGAUACCCUGGUAGUCCACGCCCUAAACGAUGUCAACUAGGUGUUGGGAGGGUAAACCUUUUAGUACCGGAGCUAACGCGUGAAGUUGACCGCCUGGGGAUACGGCCGCAAGGUUAAACNAAAGAUGACGNGNGAGAGNGCGAGACGACGACGAGGAGAG